UUCCACAAUAGCUUAUUUUUUCUUAAAAAUAUUUACAAAAAUUAAAAUUAAAAUACUUUGUCUAAAAUAUUAAAGUUAUUAAAAACUUGCAUUAUCCUACAUAUCAGGUCAACAGUCUUGUUCCCAUCUGCUUGAAAAUGUUAUAACUGCAACUGUGCCAUAUCCAAUUGGAAAAAUUUUACGUAAAGCAUUAUCCAGAGCGGGGAUUGGCAAAAUAGGUGCUUUUUCGCACAUCAGCUCCUCAUUAUUAUACUAUUUAUGCACGCAUAAAAAAUGGAAAUUUGCCCAUGAGUAUCACUGAGUACUGUCCGAGUCAAGUUUAAACGGCGUGCCGCAUUGUGACACUUCAGAUGGUACAGUACCUCACAAAAUUAGGAGAAUAACCAUCGAUGAAAUUUUAUUCUGAUGUCCUCGCCGGAUUCGAAUCCAGACGUUCAUGGUCAUAGGCGGACAUGCUUACCUCUGCGCUACGGUGGCCUCCACGCAUACAUAACACGCAUAAUAAAAAUUUGCCUGGACUUGAUUUUCAGUAGAAUUAGAUGUUGGUCUGAAAUGUCUUACCUUUCUUCCUGAAUAUAAUGUAAUCUUAAUGAUAAGAUAGUUGAUUAAACUUUUAUCAUCAAUAAUCA
Molecule: long non-coding RNA, 629 nt
Organism: Stomoxys calcitrans (stable fly)
Lineage: Eukaryota; Metazoa; Arthropoda; Insecta; Diptera; Muscidae
Exons: 2
Source: RefSeq, a predicted model, not a curated record